Non-coding RNA from Prunus mume (Japanese apricot), 533 nucleotides. The record is from RefSeq and is a predicted model, not a curated record. NCBI's taxonomy places the organism in Eukaryota, Viridiplantae, Streptophyta, Magnoliopsida, Rosales, Rosaceae.
CCAACAAAAGGAUUUGAUUGAGACUAUAAAAUUUUGGAAAAAUCAGUGGAAAGACCAUGGUAAAUUCUGUGAUAUCUGCUUGCUGAAGACUACUUCAAUUUAGCAUUCAAGUUUUAUGAAGACGUUAAUGUGACAAAGAUGCUCGACGUUAAUAUAAAGUGUUAUAAUGGAAUGUUUUGUUUGGGAAGUCUGAUUCUGCUUUGAAAAAGAUGGAAUGUUCCGGGACCGUAACUCAGGAUAUGUUUCAGAACUGUAAAAUGACAAUAAAUACAUAUGACAAAUUUUCUCUUACGAUGCCACCUACAAUAAAGAAAUGUGAUGGUGGAGACGAGGAUGAUGGUGAUAAGACUGCUCCUAUAGGUGAUUAGCCCAAGCAAUGAGCACAAAAGGCUGGUGGUGGUGGUCUGAACUUGAGUCACACAACAAGGCCAAGCAUAGUGUUGAGGUUGAUACCUUAAUUUUGUGAAGGUUUUGGUGGUGAUCGGUUGUGGUUUUAUAUGUUUAAACCUCAGUUUUUCUAUUUUUUCAACUUU